Molecule: ribosomal RNA, 498 nt
Filed under: uncultured bacterium
Lineage: Bacteria
Description: bacterial SSU rRNA
Rfam family: Bacterial small subunit ribosomal RNA
Source: RNAcentral
GAUGAACGCUAGCUACAGGCUUAACACAUGCAAGUCGAGGGAACGAUAGAGAAAGCUUGCUUUUUCUAGGCGUCGACCGGCGCACGGGUGAGUAACGCGUAUCCAACCUGCCCAUCACUUGGGGAUAACCUUGCGAAAGUAAGACUAAUACCCAAUGACGUCUCUAGAAGACAUCUGAAGGAGAUUAAAGAUUUAUCGGUGAUGGAUGGGGAUGCGUCUGAUUAGCUUGUUGGCGGGGUAACGGCCCACCAAGGCGACGAUCAGUAGGGGUUCUGAGAGGAAGGUCCCCCACAUUGGAACUGAGACACGGUCCAAACUCCUACGGGAGGCAGCAGUGAGGAAUAUUGGUCAAUGGACGAGAGUCUGAACCAGCCAAGUAGCGUGCAGGAUGACGGCCCUAUGGGUUGUAAACUGCUUUUAUAAGGGAAUAAAGUGGGAGUCGUGACUCUUUUUGCAUGUACCUUAUGAAUAAAGGACCGGCUAAUUCCGUGCCAGCAG